UCUCCUGGAUUUUGUAGGACGUGAAUGAGAAUGGAACUGUUUAAAGCCAUGCUAUAAGGAUGAUGCUUCCUAGGCUAGUUGAAGUGGUUUCCCCUUCUCUCUUUAUAGUGUUAAAAAAAGCAGAGUGGACCAAUGACUUCAGCCUGAACUAGAAACGGGCUUGACGACGGGCUGUUAUAUUGUGUAACAGAUUCUCAGCUGACCACAUUGUAAGCCUUAAAGUAGAGAUUUCCUGUGCAUACCCUUUUUAUGAGAGCUGCUUGUCCCCCAUAGUCACUCCUCCCAAUGAAUGCUUUGGCCUGAUUGUUCACCAUAAGAAGAAGCCAUCAUUUUGUAUUUUCCUUCAGCUCUUCUAAAUGGGAUUUUGAGCAAAGUUUUCAUCUAAUGGGUGAAUGUUAUCAUGCCUGCAUAGUGAACCCAAUGAAAAUGGUUGAGGAGAAAGGAUGUGAACUGCAUUGCAAUGUUGUCCAUUAUGCCGAAAAGAUUCAUAAUUGAAAACUACAGCAAGGAGAGAUUUAUGCAAACCUGUUUUCAUCUUCAGUGAUGCAAGCAUUCUCCUUGCAGAGUCAAUGUGAUGUUAAUGUAGGUAAGAUAAGUCCAUGAGCCAUAUCAUUGUUUGCGCUGUUACUGUUGACUGGAAGCUGUGCUGUUGCAUUAUCUGCAUCUUUUCAUGUAUUGGUAUACUGUAUAAAAUAAGGUGGUGGUGGGGACCCACCAGCUAACCUGAUGGGGUUGUAUAAAGCUGGCUUUUAAUGAAACAGCACGCUGGAAAUUCUAGUCUCCUGUCGCGGUUUAUGCUUCUCUUUUCUCCAGGGCGCAUUGGCUCAGGCUGCACUAUAUUCAGGCUAAAUGGAUUGCAGUUUUAAAUGCACUACCCAGUGCUGCUGACUAAUACCAUUCCAGCCUGAUUCCCCCAGCUUCCUCCAGCCCCCUCCCACCACCCUGCAUCUUCCGUCAACAGCACAUGGACAAGGCAUCAGGCAGUAAUAUUGGCGAACGUUUUGCAUUGGCUUGAUGAAGAAGAAUAUUCAAGGAGGGAGAACUGAGCAAGGCCCCUGAAACUCGCCCACUCACUGAUGUUGCAGAGGACUGUUUUCCUACAAGAUAAGAAGUGUAAGAAAAGGCAGUAAAUUGGAAGGCUUUCAGGGAAUGGUGUUUGUGGCUCGCUGGCUUCCUCUCCUCCCCCUCUUCCCCCCUUUUCACCAUAAUAUUAGCGUUGUAUAGAUUUAAUAAUUAGGUGAUUGGAGACAUUUUGAUGAUGGAGCAGUUUCUAUGAUCUGCAAAAGACAGCAUCUGUUUUUCUCAUGUACCAAUUAAUUAUUGAUGCAACUGAAAAUGCAGUAGACUUUUCUUUUUCUCCCCUGCGGAAGAAGAAAGAUUGGGUGUUUUAGCAAGAUGGAGAGGAAAUUAUAUCAUCCUGACCUUGAAAGUUGCUGAAUUUUUUUAAUAAUAUAGAAAUCAAAGAAACGAGUAAAUACACAGUUUGCUUCUUACCAUUGCUGCCUAAGCCAAGGAGGGCCUUGCAGUGAAAUAAUCACCUUUAUCUUUGUUUUCUAUGUCCAGCUGUUAGCUUUUUCAUUUUAAAAAAUGGUAUUGUCCUACUCACUGUUCCAUGAACUAGCUUUCUUCCCAGUGUCCCUUCAAGUGAGCAGCCCUCUUCUUCAGGAAAACCAUUCAAAAUAUAUGGGUUUCUUUUUCUUUUUGGGAUGCAGUUCUUGAGCCCAGGGAAACUGGCCCAAUGUGGGGGCUUUCUAAAGUUAUCUGAAAAGGAAUGUUUGCUGGAAAUCAUACAAUGUGAUGCUUUGCUUUCGUGUCAAUCGUUUCAUGUGUCUUGACAUCCGCCAAAGAUCUUAAACUCCUUUAAAAAAAAAAAAAAAAACCUCUGAUUAGAGCUCAUGUAUACAUGUUAUGCAUUUAUAUAAGGGUCACAGCUUGUAAUCACCUACUUUGCCAUUGGCGAUUAAUCUAAAAAAGAUCGAAUAAUUCACUGCCCCAUGCCAUUCAC
Long non-coding RNA from Rhineura floridana, 2005 nucleotides. RefSeq lists it as uncharacterized. The record is from RefSeq and is a predicted model, not a curated record. NCBI's taxonomy places the organism in Eukaryota, Metazoa, Chordata, Lepidosauria, Squamata, Rhineuridae. The transcript has 3 exons.